This 513-nucleotide ribosomal RNA is filed under the name Escherichia coli. RNAcentral's name for it is "bacterial SSU rRNA". It matches the Rfam family "Bacterial small subunit ribosomal RNA", at positions 100 to 611 of the family's 1533-position model. Lineage: Bacteria; Pseudomonadati; Pseudomonadota; Gammaproteobacteria; Enterobacterales; Enterobacteriaceae. The record is from RNAcentral.
GGGGAGGUGAGUAUGUCUGGGAACUGCCUGAUGGAGGGGGAUAACUACUGGAAACGGUAGCUAAUACCGCAUAACGUCGCAAGACCAAAGAGGGGGACCUUCGGGCCUCUUGCCAUCGGAUGUGCCCAGAUGGGAUUAGCUAGUAGGUGGGGUAACGGCUCACCUAGGCGACGAUCCCUAGCUGGUCUGAGAGGAUGACCAGCCACACUGGAACUGAGACACGGUCCAGACUCCUACGGGAGGCAGCAGUGGGGAAUAUUGCACAAUGGGCGCAAGCCUGAUGCAGCCAUGCCGCGUGUAUGAAGAAGGCCUUCGGGUUGUAAAGUACUUUCAGCGGGGAGGAAGGGAGUAAAGUUAAUACCUUUGCUCAUUGACGUUACCCGCAGAAGAAGCACCGGCUAACUCCGUGCCAGCAGCCGCGGUAAUACGGAGGGUGCAAGCGUUAAUCGGAAUUACUGGGCGUAAAGCGCACGCAGGCGGUUUGUUAAGUCAGAUGUGAAACCCCCCGGGCUA